UGGGGAAUAUUGCACAAUGGGCGCAAGCCUGAUGCAGCCAUGCCGCGUGUGUGAAGAAGGCCUUCGGUUGUAAAGCACUUUCUAGCGAGGAGGAAGGUGGUGAACUUAAUACGUUCAUCAAUUGACGUUACUCGCAGAAGAAGCACCGGCUAACUCCGUGCCAGCAGCCGCGGGUAAUACGGAGGGUGCAAGCGUUAAUCGGAAUUACUGGGCGUAAAGCGCACGCAGGCGGUUUUGUUAAGUCCAGAUGGUGAAAUCCCCGGGCUCAACCUGGGAACUGCAUUUGAAACUGGCAAGCUAGAGUCUCGUAGAGGGGGGUAGAAUUCCAGGUGUAGCGGUGAAAUGCGUAGAGAUCUGGAGGAAUACCGGUGGCGAAGGCGGCCCCCUGGACGAAGACUGACGCUCAGGUGCGAAAGCGUGGGGAGCAAACAGAUUAGAUACCCUGGUUAGUCCACGCUGUAAACGAUGUCGAUUUUGGAGGUUGUGCCCCUUGAGG
RNAcentral lists this ribosomal RNA (496 nucleotides) under uncultured bacterium. RNAcentral describes it as "partial 16S ribosomal RNA". It matches the Rfam family "Bacterial small subunit ribosomal RNA", at positions 355 to 837 of the family's 1533-position model. The record is from RNAcentral.